This 492-nucleotide ribosomal RNA is filed under the name uncultured bacterium. RNAcentral describes it as "partial 16S ribosomal RNA". It matches the Rfam family "Bacterial small subunit ribosomal RNA", at positions 29 to 507 of the family's 1533-position model. The record is from RNAcentral.
AGUGAACGCUGGCGGUAGGCCUAACACAUGCCAGUCGAACGGCAGCACAGUAAGAGCUUGCUCUUACGGGUGGCGAGUGGCGGACGAGUGAGGAAUACAUCGGAAUCUACUUUUUCGUGGGGGAUAACGUAGGGAAACUUACGCUAAUACCGCAUACGACCUACGGGUGAAAGCAGGGGAUCUUCGGACCUUGCGCGAUUGAAUGAGCCGAUGUCGGAUUAGCUAGUUGGCGGGGUAAAGGCCCACCAAGGCGACGAUCCGUAGCUGGUCUGAGAGGAUGAUCAGCCACACUGGAACUGAGACACGGUCCAGACUCCUACGGGAGGCAGCAGUGGGGAAUAUUGGACAAUGGGCGCAAGCCUGAUCCAGCCAUACCGCGUGGGUGAAGAAGGCCUUCGGGUUGUAAAGCCCUUUUGUUGGGAAAGAAAAGCAGCAGGUUAAUACCCCGCUGUUCUGACGGUACCCAAAGAAUAAGCACCGGCUAACUUCGUG